Non-coding RNA from Pelobates cultripes (western spadefoot toad), 383 nucleotides. The record is from the annotation of a GenBank genome assembly. Lineage: Eukaryota; Metazoa; Chordata; Amphibia; Anura; Pelobatidae.
CUGCCACAGAUAAGUUGUACUGGUUACAGUGUAAGGACAAUUGUCAAGUGCCAUCAGAGCUUUUUGUAUCCAUCUGUAGAUUGCAGGAUAUGCCAAUGCAUUUUUAGGUAACUACGAGCUACCCUGCAUUCUUGAGGUUGAAUCAAAUGGCUAGAUAGAAUGUAUCUUUCAUAUCAUGCAUGGUAUGGGCUGCUGUCACACAAAUUAAGAUAUAGAGGGUAAUUACCUUCCUUUACAAAAUGUGAAUUCUUUUAAAUCAAUUAAUCUUGCCCAAAUAGUGUAAUCAUUCAUAUUUGUCACUGUGUCCUCAUCACUACUGCUCCUGUGACUCUAAUACCCCCCCAUUAUAAAUAACCUUGUAUGAAAAUUUGUGGUGUGUAACU